Alosa sapidissima (American shad) is the source of this 1131-nucleotide long non-coding RNA. RefSeq lists it as uncharacterized. NCBI's taxonomy places the organism in Eukaryota, Metazoa, Chordata, Actinopteri, Clupeiformes, Clupeidae. The transcript is spliced from 3 exons. The record is from RefSeq and is a predicted model, not a curated record.
GAAUGGAGAGCGAAGAUGAGACAAACACUAGUUUAGCUGCCUGCUCGUUUACUUCCACAGGAAUUAUAAAGCAGACAGUUCUUCAAGGAUAUCGAAAAUGAGCCACGGUCGUAAAUGCAGUGUUCCAGGCUGAAACUUAGGCUACAAAGAAAGCUGAGACUUUCCAUAGUCUUCUCAGGGAUUCAAAAGUUCGAGGGGCAUGGAUAAUGUUUUUCUACCAGAAGAUCCCUGAAAAGUUCGACACUCCGUUAUUAAUUUGCAAAACAAUUCACCGAAGGCAGUUUUCAAAACCUUGUACAGUUAAGCAGGAUUUGCUAAGCUGCUGUUACUGAAACGAGGGGCUGACGACCGUAAGGUCAUCAUACAACCGCAUGCUGUUUUAUCUAGCAGCCAUGCACUUCAGUGAGUGAGUCCCCACAACAGAAGACGGCCAAGGAGAAACUAUGUACAGACUUGCCAAACAAUUUAUCAUCAAAGACCCUCUUCCUUAUUGGGAUGCCGUCCAGCGGAUUCCUGUGCCCCAGGACUUGUGUGCUCAGCUUGACAGACCUUCCAUGGAGGAUGCUAUUGCUGAACAUGUGUCACGGUUCAGUCGAAAAGGGGUCUGAAUCCAACGUACUGCCCUGAAGUAUCCGGAAGCUCCCUCCAUAUGCGUAGCACCUCCAACAAGGGGAUCAUGACACGGAGGCUUCUUCUAAGGAAAUCCCAGCUCCUGCUCACAAAAGACCUGUAGGCCAAGUCACUUCAUUGCCUGCAACGAGAACAGGGUGGAAAAGCAAAUGUUUUUUACUAUUUAUUUUUUUAUAUUUUACAUCAGAGUAUCACUGGACGAUUGUUGGGGGAAAAAAAGUUUAUCAUUUUGUGGUGUUGAUCAAACUGUGUUUUUGCAAUAUGCUGAACCAAAAAUGAAUGUGUAUUGGUUAAAAAUAUUUUAUUUAUAUACUGUAACUGCUAACACUUGUAUCAGAUUGUCCUCGCCUUUCCAUUCCUCUGAUUCCCAAACGGCCAUGGUCAGCUCUGUAAAUAUUCAUUGCAUUUUGCAAAGAAUAUAGAGGCACAACGGAUUGAGGCCAUGAUGGUCAUUCAGGUCAGCUCCUCAGGAACCUGGGUCAUUCUUUUAAUAACCUGUAA